Molecule: ribosomal RNA, 492 nt
Filed under: uncultured bacterium
Lineage: Bacteria
Description: partial 16S ribosomal RNA
Rfam family: Bacterial small subunit ribosomal RNA
Source: RNAcentral
AGUGAACGCUGGCGGUAGGCCUAACACAUGCAAGUCGAACGGCAGCACAGUAAGAGCUUGCUCUUACGGGUGGCGAGUGGCGGACGGGUGAGGAAUACAUCGGAAUCUACUUUUUCGUGGGGGAUAACGUAGGGAAACUUACGCUACUACCGCAUACUACCUACGGGUGAAAGCAGGGGUUCUUCGGACUUUGCGCGAUUGAUUGAGCCGAUGUCGGAUUAGCUAGUUGGCGGGGUAAAGGCCCACCAAGGCGACGAUCCGUAGCUGGUCUGAGAGGAUGAUCAGCCACACUGGAACUGAGACACGGUCCAGACUCCUACGGGAGGCAGCAGUGGGGAAUAUCGGACAAUGGGCGCAAGCCUGAUCCAGCCAUACCGCGUGGGUGAAGAAGGCCUUCGGGUUGUAAAGCCCUUUUGUUGGGAAAGAAAAGCAGCAGGUUAAUACCCCGCUGUUCUGACGGUACCCAAAGAAUAAGCACCGGCUAACUUCGUG